Molecule: ribosomal RNA, 540 nt
Filed under: Triticum aestivum (bread wheat)
Lineage: Eukaryota; Viridiplantae; Streptophyta; Magnoliopsida; Poales; Poaceae
Description: partial small subunit ribosomal RNA
Source: RNAcentral
AUGUGCACUGCACGCGGGGUGGAGGCAGAACGACGGGAACCCCGGGAGGAGCGCUCGGGGGCCCUUGCCGCUGGCCGUGACAGAGGUGCAGCUCGUCGUCGUCCGCCCUCCGCCGAACACCAUGGGAGGAGCAGUCUAGCUCAGCGCCAGGUGAACGACGCGAGAUUGGGAGGAGGUUCGUGGGGGAAGAGCCAAGAUCCAUCGUCGGCUGGGCAGGGGAUGCUCAGAUCCAUCGCUGGCUGGGUGCUGGGUGGCCGGAACGAGCUCAGUGGAAGGAGGUGGGUCAAGGUGAUGAGGACAGGGGGCGCUCCGGUGCUGGGAGGAAGUGCGGCGCGACCGCGCGGGGAAGGAGCCAUGGGGAGGGAGGCGCGGGGAAGGAGGAGGUUAGGUGGGAUGGGCGCGGCCCUGGCUGAAGGAAGGAGGUGGAGGGAGUGGGUGGAGGGGAGAGGUCGUGGGUGGAGGAAGGAGGUGGAGCGCCGGCGGAAGAAGGUGGAGUCGGAUUGGGGUCGUGGUCGUGCGGGAGGUGGGUUGGGGUGUUAG